UUUUUUUUUUUUUUUUUUUUUUGUCUUAUGGCAUUCAAACGGAUGCUAAAAAUGGGCAUAACUGACGCUAGUGGGAAAGUGGGAAGUUUCAGUUGUACAACAUUUUGGUCUGUCAAUUUUCAAUAAAUUAAGAACGUCAAUGCUUUAAUUACCACUUUUUUUUUUGGCACAUUUACAAGGAAUCAUUAAAUUCUAAAUCCUGCCAAAAUCUAUGAGCUAAGCAUCUAAAUUGUCUACGGUCUAAGUAAUGCUUUUUUAAAAAAAAAAUUUCUUUAACAACCAUUUUUAUGUAUGCAGACAUUGGGAUUUACCAACUCAAACAACAUUGCAAUUGCCGGCCUAACUUCUCUCAAUAGCCAAUUGUUCCACUUGGUGUUCAACGGCUGCAACACCGUGAAAUUGCAAGGAGUAAAGGUUUCGGCGGCCGGAAACAGCCCCAACACGGACGGGAUUCAUGUGCAAUAUUCAUCAGGAGUCACAAUCUUGAAUUCCAAGAUCAGUACUGGAGAUGACUGCGUUUCAAUUGGUCCUGGCACUACAAGUUUGUGGAUUGAAAAUGUUCUUUGUGGCCCUGGCCAUGGCAUCAGGUGACUAAAACUGAUGCUCAAUUAACAAUUAGUAGUAUCUUCUUUGAGGACUAAUUUAAUUUUUUUGGGCAGCAUUGGGAGUCUUGGAAAAGAUUUUGAAGAAGAGGGAGUACAGAAUGUGACAGUGAAAAGUGUUACCUUCAGGAAUACACAGAAUGGUGCAAUGAUUAAAUCAUGGGGUAGACCAAGCAAAGGUUUUGUCAAGGAUGUUUUGUUCCAGCAUGCCACUAUGAUCAACGUCCAAAACCCCAUCCUUAUUGACCAAAAUUAUUGCCCGGAUAACAUCAACUGUCCUGCACAGGUAUAUAAAUUAUUUAAUGGGCAUUAUUAGUUGUCAGUAUAUUUGAUGUAUUUCUAUCCACGGGAUAAAUUAAGAAUUUGGGUUAAUCCUUUUUUACUUAAACAAAAUAAAAUAAGAACAUGAAGAUGGAUGAUACACUACAAAUCUCUUUCUGGGUAUUUCAAGAUACGAACAAUUUUCUAAUAUCAUGUUAUUAAUUCGAUCUUUUUGACAGGUUUCAGGCAUAAAAAUAAACGAUGUUACGUAUCAAGACAUCCAUGGAACAUCAGCAACAGAAAUUGCAGUCAAAUUUGAUUGUAGCAAGAAGAAUCCGUGCAGUGGGAUAAGAUUGGAAGAUGUGAAAUUGACAUACAAGAAUCAACCAGCUAAAACAUCUUGUGCCAAUGCUGCUGGAACUACACUUGGUUUGCUUGGCAUUAAUAGCUGUCUGUAAGCAAAGAUCACAAACCCCUUCCCUUUUCCCCACCCCCUAACCCAAAAAAAGAAAAAAAAAAAAAACCACGCUUCCCCCAAAAAGAAAAAAGGGUUGGAGGAAGUGUAAUGGGGUACAGAUGGUAUAUUUGAAUAGAAAUUUUAGUACUUAGGUUAUAGCACAGCAAGUGACUCAAUCAAAUUAAUUUGCGGGCGCCUGAGGCGUUGCCAUAAUCAUUGUUCGCCUGGCCAUGCAACAGUCAUGAAUCUGUGAUCAACAAGUGCAAGGGACAGAAAAUAUAUUUCCCGUAGUGAAAUGGAUUAAAUUCAGAGUAAUUAACAUUGUUUUUCUUGUCUCUACUUACCCGUUGAUACUCGAACUCAAGAUCUGUCGAUUAUAUGCAAAACGUUUUAUUAACUAAAUUGCGUUUCGGUGCCCCCCGGGGCUUCUUCCGGAACUCCAAGGUCAAGUGGUCGAAUCCCACUUAACUCCCGGUGCGCUUGGGGUGGCGGUGUACUUGGGUGCAGGGGAUUAGUCGGGCUGCCUUCGGGUCUUGACCCGGACACCCUUGUGUUGACAAAAAAAAAAAAAAAAACUAAAUUGUGCUUCGGUGUCGGAGUUGUUAUAUAUAUAUAUAUAUAUAUUUCUAAAAUUGGAUGAUGUAUGACUAAAAAGAUAUAUUCUCAAAUUGGAUGAUGUAGGAAUAAAAAGAUUGAUUUUGAUAGGAAUGUUUUUCGUUUAGAUUUAAAUUUAGUCUCCCAUAUGUCAAUAAGAACCUCUAUAGAGUUAACAGCUUUUUAUGGGGAAUUUGUACAAUCUAUAUUGACAAGAAUAUUUGCUUUUAGUUCGUCCACAAAUGUUAUUAAUAUAAUGUUUUAGGAUCGAUCAUCUCUAUUGAAAUCCUCUACAUUAAUUGGUCUCUCCAUUUUAUUCAUAUUUAAAUUUAUAUAAUGUUAUAAAAUUAUGCAAUUCUGUCAUCACUUUUCUUUUGAUCUCUAGAUCAAUCUAUUAAAACAAUGAUAUUUCUAAUUUACUUGAAACAUUUGAACGGUGAAAAAUAGAUCAAAAUUAUGACAAAUUUUGAACAGUGAAACAUAUUAUUACAAGAUACGAUCAACCACUUUUCAUCCAAUCUAGUUUAAAACAUUUUUAUUUUAAGCUAAUUAUUUACAUAAUCUAGCGGGCAUAAUAAUUACAUGUGUUUUAUAGUUAUAAUAAUACCCAAGAUAGAUAGAUGAGAAAUUUAAGUGGUUUUCGUCAAGAUUUUCUAGAAAUUGUUCAGAUUUGGUGCUUUUUGGCUGGUAAAUAUGCCUCCUCCUCUCAUAGAUUCUGGUUGAAUGUGAAUAGCAAUAUUCCAGCAAGAUCUAAGGAUAUGAACUUCUUGUCAGGAAUGCAACCAUUUAAGUGGUCGGGGUUGGGUUGUAGCCGCCCCAUUGUUUAUUGGUUAAUGAAAAUGAAAAUUAAAAAAAAAUGAAAGCUUUGGUGGGCAGCUUCAUUUCGCCUACUGGAAAUGACAAACAAAAUAAUAAUUUUCAGAAAUUGAAAAUUAAAGAAAUAAACACUACUAAUUAAAAAAAAUCUAUUUUUCUGCCUCUUGUCUAUUUUCUAAUUAAUAUAACCUCUUUUUAUUAUCUUCAAUUUUGUGGAUAUUAGCAAAUUGAAAUUAUAAAAUCUACAAAGGGAGUAGAUUAUGUGUCAAACUAAAAGGAAAUGAAGAGACUCACAGUGAUAGAGAAAUAAAUAAUAAAAUUAAUGAUUAAAAUAUGAAGAAGAAUUAAAGAUAUGAAAUUUGUUAUAUUUUGUUUAUUGUUAGGAAAAACUUUUAUAAAAUGUCAAUAAUUACAUAAUGAUUUCUUUCAUUGGAUUAGAAAUUUUUUAUUAUGAUUUUAUUGUUGAGGUAGAAUUUAUUCUCGACUUUUGAGAUAUUAAUAUUUUUAAAAUUAUAGGAGAAUUGUAAUCGUGGUUCUAUGUCAAAUUAACUUAUAUUGAAAAGGUAUUUGAGCAUUGAUAUUUACUUCAGUUGUAUAAAAUUGGUUGUCAAUGGAGUUUUGUGUGUGUGUUUUUUUUUAAUCGUGACAAGUAUUGACAUUGUAUAUAUAUGCAAUUUAGGAUCUUUUGAAUGGUUACUUGAUUUUAAAACUUAUACAUGGAUGGUUGUUAGGGAUUUGGAUUGUCGAUUCAUACAAAGUGUGGAAGAAAAUGAUUCAGUAUACUGUAUUUUUCUUUCUUAGUUUUGUACAAAAGGGCAAUUGAGAAUUUUUGAAAGAAAAUUUAAGUUCUUGGACCUACAUUGUCACUAAACAAUAAAAGUAGAGGAGGUAUACGUAAUUUUUAAAAUUUGAGGGGAGCUCUUUGUAAUUGUGAGAAACUUGAGGGGAGGUUUGUGAAAUUAUCCCUUCAUCAAAAUCAAAAUCAGCCUGCAAAACAAUUAAUCAAAUUCAAGGAUCACAGGUCUAUGCAGCCAGAUCUUUCCUAAAAUCAAAUUCAGAAAGUAUGUCAAAAGAGGGAUUUUUUUUUUCCACCAAACAAAAAAAAAAAAAAAACCUCGCAAAAACCAAUUUGGUCAUACCUGGAAUAAAGAAUGCCUGAUAGCCAAAAUCCAAUGCCAACAGCUAUUAUGCACUAACAAAAAGAAACAAAAGAGGAAGAAGAACCAUUGCAAACUGUCGUAACGUUAUUAAGAGACAAUUAUGUGACAACCAGAGAUGUUCUAAUUUCCGUAACCAUCGCACCUUUAAUUCACAUAAUGAUCAGGAUAUUGCAAAUUAAUUAUCAAUUCGAAAUGACAUAAAACCCCGCAAAGUUCUACAACCUGCAAGCGUUAAUUGCCAGGUCGAACGGGAAAGAAGUGAUUUCACACAUAAACAGGGCAAUCUAUAUCUAUAUCUAUAUAUAUUAGAGAGCAGGUUUUUGACGAGGAGUUUCCACAAGCCUUAGAUCUAAAUUCUUUUUUAUUAUAAUUUUAGAUUUAUUUUAAUUUAAUAACACUUAUCUUCUCUUUAUCCCUUUCCACUCCUCAAUUUACUGACCCACUAACCCACAAAAUCUCAAUUUACGUGACCCACUAACCCACAAAAUUAAAACUCCUAAAUUUUAACUAAUAGAUAAUAAUCUCUCCAACAAAAUGAUAUUUGUAAAUUCCAAUUCACGUUCCACAUUUACCAUUGAUACUUACCACAUUACUGAUAACAAUACUCACACUUACCACAUCGUAAUUAUUCACAAAACUGAUGAUCACUAAUCUAUUUAACCAAUUUCAUUUGUCAUCACACAAAUUAAAUAUAGUGAAAAAAAGACUAUGUAUCAUACUAUCACCAUGGAUGAAUCCUACUUACAAACGUUUCAAUCAGUGAUAAAACCAAGAUUUUUUUCCUAGAGGGGCUAAAAUUUUUCCUAACAUAAUUAUUUUUAUAAGUUAUGUUCAAAAUAAUUUUCAUUUAUUUAAAUAAAUGACACCUAAAAAUAUCAAAUAUUAAUUUUAAUUAUAAAGGACUUAAAAAAUAAAUAACUUUUUUUAAAAAAAAUAAGUUCAAAGGUAGUUAAUUCACACACAUGUGCACACAUAUAUACAUAUAUAUAUAUAUAUUCUCAUAAUAUAAAUUAAAAUUGUAAAAAAUUAGGAGGGUUAACCUUAUUUUACACAAAUAUUUACACAAUAUAAAUUAAAAUUUUUAAAACGUAGGAGGGAGGGGCUAUGACCCUCAUUAGCCCCCCAUUGGUUCCAUCAUUGAUUUUAAUGGCGUUAUAAUUUCAAACUUGCAAGAUUACAAAUGAGAAAACAACAGAUCGCAAAAUGAAUCUUACGCUAUAGUGAUCCCAUUGAAAUAUUUUUAAAAAGUUCAGUAAGUUCACUUUCAAGAAAUAGAAGUCUCGCUGAACAUUUUUUUUGUAGUAUAAACUCCACAAAAUUCAAUCGAAUUAAUUAAAUCAUCAAUAUUGGUUUUCAUGCUAAAAGUUGAUUGAUGUAAAAAAUUUUCGUAUUUUUUGUACAAAAUUAUCAAAUCGAAUGCAUAAUGUUUGUAAGUAUUUCAUUUUCAAAUAAUAAUUUUCAUCUAUUUAAAUAUAUGACAUCUAAAAAUAUCAAAUAUUAACUUUAAUUAUAAUGGGACGUAAAAAAUAAAUAACUUUUUUUAAAAAAAAAUUAAUUCAAAUGUAGUUAAUUCACACGCACGCGCACACACACAUAUACAUAUAUAUAUAUAUAUAUAUAUAUAUAUAUAUAUAUAUAUAUAUAUAUUCAUAAUAUAAACUAAAAUUGUAAAAAAUUAGGAGAGCCAACUUUAUUUUUCACAAAUAUUUACACAAUAUGAAUUAAAAUUUUUAAAACUUGGGAGAGGGGACUAUGGGCCCCAUUAGCCCCCAUUGGUUUAAUCAUUGAUUUCAAUGGUAUUUUAAUUCCAAACCUGCAAAAUUACAAAGAUAAAAAAUAAUUGAUCACAAAACGAAUCUUACAUCAUAAUGAUCCCACUGAAAUAUUUUAAAAAGAUUCAGCAAGUUCACUUCCAAUAAAUAUAAGUCUCGCUGAAUAUUUUUUUUGUAGUACGAACUCCACAAAAUUUAAUAGAAUUAAUUAAACCACCAAUAUUAAUUUUUAUACUAAAAGUUGACUGGUGUAAAAAAUGUUCCCACCUUUGUACAAGAUUAUCAAAUCGAAUGCAUAAUGUUUGUAAUUAUUUUAUUUUGAAAUCAAAUAAAACAUGCAAUUACAUUUAUUUCUAUUUAUAUAUCCCUCAUUUUCUAAUAUAAAUUUCUAUUAUUAUUUCAAGAUCUAUCUUCUGCAAACACGCAAUUUUUGAAUGAUCUACAGAUUUUGUCAUACUUUGAACUAUUGUUAGACCAAUCAUAAAUUGUAAUUAUGUUGGUAUAAUUUUUUUUAACUUUUUUUAAAUUUACCCUCUCUUUUAAUUUUAGUCAAUAACAUAAGCACUGGCAUUCACACUAGUAAUUAAUUAAUUGUCAAGUGUAUAAUCAUACAUUCAAUGCACAAGAAGGACAAUACAGUCAACUUGACAAUAUCUGAUGCUUCUAUUAUGUGUAGUCAUGGCUUCACCACCUAUCAAUACUCACUUGAUUAAAAGACAAAGAUAAUCUAUAACAUGAUGUUGAAAUUCAAAAAUGAAUUUGGCUAAUACCCAUUUUUAUAUAAUAUAAGGAUAUUAUGAAUGAAGUUGAUUUUUGAAAAUAAUUUUUAAAUUAAUUUUAUUAGGGUACAAUAUAUAGAAAUUCUCUCCAAUGCAACAGAAAGGAGUCUAAUUCUAAUAUAAUAUACCUAUAUAUUUUUUAAUACGCGUGAUUAAUUCAGUCAAAGCCUUCUCUCUCUCACAUUCUAACACAUACAGUAAUAUUCUCUCUCUCUCUUUCUCAAACACACAUAUGCUUGCUUUCAAUAUUAGAUAGUAUUUAUAAACUAAGUGGAUAUAAAAUAAAAAAAUUUUCUUUUAACUCAAAAUACAUAGUAUAUUUUUUUAUAUAUAAAUUUAAGAGCAUGAUUUAUGUUAAAGUUGACCAUUGAACCCUCUCAAUAAAAGGUCCUGGCUAUAUACAUACAUAUAUAUAUAUAUAUAUAUAUAUAUAUAUAUAUAUAUGUUAAAAUAAAGAAUUUCAUUUCAUUGUCGAUUGCAAUUGAUUAUCAAACAUAUAAGUUUAUGAUCUCAGCAAAUUAAUACUUAAUAUUUAAAUUUGGUCUUUCAGGUUUCAGACUUUGGUUUUCAGCUUAAUUUACUAAACCCCCUUUAUGCCUUAUACACGAGAUAAACUUAAGAGCGGAGUCAAAAACUAUUGAGCUAGUGUUGGUAGCAGUUAUAUUUUAUUUUAUAAAUGCAUCUAAGGUCUUAUUAUACCACUUGUCUCUUGAUGGAAGUAUAGUCCAAUUUACUGGUCCGCAUAGGACUUAGCAACCACAAAUCCAGCAAGCACUUUCACCAAAGAAACAGCCAAAACCCCAAUUUCACACUUUCCAUCUCAACAAUUACACACUUUUAGUGUAAUUACCAAAGAAACAGCAUGCUUUUUAGUGUUUUCUUGCAACAAUUACACACUUUCCAUCUCACUUCUGGCGUUUAUUGCUUGCUUUUGCUUCCAAAGUGCUUCAAAGUCACAUUUUAUGCUGCACUAAGUCCCACUAUAAAUAUCCCACCCAACCGUUCACCUCUUUAUCAUCGAAACUCCAUUUACUAAUCUCUUCUCUACUGAUAGUAGUAAGUUUUUGCUCAAGAGGUGAAAAUGGAGAAGCCCAUAAGUCUUUUUGUUGUCACAUUUCUCUUCUUCUUGUUAAAUCAAUCGAGGGCCAUUGUGGGCAAGUACAACGUUCUGGAAUUGGGAGCAAAGGCUGACGGGAAUACAGAUUCAACCCAGUCUCUGUUGAGUGCAUGGGCAGCAGCUUGUGGCUCUUCCAAACCAUCCACAAUUCUUGUACCAAAAGGGAGGUUUUUAGUCAAGCGAGUACAAUUCUCUGGACCAUGCAAGAAUAAAGCCAUAAACUUUCGAAUUCGGGGUACCCUUGUGGCUCCUUCAGGUCAUGAAGCUCUUGGAAAUGCCGGUUACUGGCUUCACUUUCAGAAUGUUGAUGGAGUCACCAUUCAUGGUGGCAUUCUGGAUGCUCGAGGUGCUGGUCUCUGGGCUUGCAAAGCAGCCGGGAAUGGGUGUUCUAGCGGCGGCGCGACGGUAUGUAAAAUUGACCAAAUUGUCCUUCACCGUCUUACUUUGGUUGCUUCUGUACCUGUGACAGAUCUUGAAGGGCAGUUUUGGCCUUUUCGCAUAUGGACGGAUGCUAAUUAUGAGCAUAACUGAUGAUAGAUAGUGGGGAAGUGGGGGGUUUCAGACUUUAAUCGAAGACUAACUAAUAAAUAGUAAAACUUUAAUAAAAUCUUGCUGAGCUGCUUCUUUUCUCUCACUUGAGUGUGAAAUAGAUUAAAUUAAACUGCUAAUUGUUUUUUUUCUUCAUUGUAGAAUUAAUGUCAUAUAUUUCUGGGGUCCUCAUUGGUGGUUACAAAACAAAAGCAGCAGAAUAGCUUAGACCUUUUGGAUCUCUUCCGUUACACAAAACUUUUUUUUGUUUUUUUGUUUUACUUUUUUUUCGAACCAUGGGGGUAAUGCAGUAGUAAGCGAAAUUUUAAGGACUCAUUUAAUUUUGGGUUUGAAUCUUACUCUGGACUUGAACUCCCGUGACUCGCCCGGGGCGCGUUGCAUGGCGUACUCCUUCGAUUUGGUAUGUCGGCUCGGUACCAAAGUGACUCGAAUCUAGGCAUGUUCCGGGUUAGCCAAAAAAAAAAAAAAAAAAGAAGUUUUGCUAUUUUGCUUGUCAAUCCACAUUAAUUUUCAACGUAAUUAAUUACAUCAUGGUUGAUUAGCAAAUUGUGUGAAUCUAGCAAGUCACUGAUUAAUUGAGUUUAGUGUUUUUUGUCCAAUUAAAACUCUUUAUGCAGACGCUAGGAUUCACCAACUCAAACAACAUUGCCAUUACCAGGCUCACUUCUCUCAACAGCCAAAUGUAUCACCUGGUAUUCAUCGGUUGCAAUCAAGUCAAGCUGCAAAAGAUUAAAGUUUUGGCAGCAGGAAACAGCCCCAACACGGAUGGAAUACACGUCCAGUUUUCAUCUGGGGUGUCUAUUUUGAGCUCUAGGAUCAGCACAGGAGAUGAUUGUGUCUCAAUUGGCCCUGGCACCACUAAUUUGUGGAUUGAGAAUGUUUUGUGCGGCCCCGGCCACGGCAUUAGGUAAAACUCAAAUUGAUAAUAAUACGAUUUUUGUUAUGCAUGUUGAGAUUAAUUUUCUUCUUUAUGUAAGGAUUAAUUCAAUUAACUAACAUGGAACAUUAAUAAAAGUAAUUAUAACGUGGUAAAUUUUUUUGGUUUUUUCUUUUGCAGCAUUGGGAGUCUAGCAAAAGAUUUUGAAGAAGAGGGAGUACAGAAUGUGACAGUAAAAAGAGUUAAAUUCAGGAAUACACAAAAUGGUGCAAGAAUUAAAUCAUGGGGUAGGCCAAGCAAAGGAUUCGUGAAGGAUGUCCUAUUCCAGCACGUCACUAUGAUCAAUGUCCAAAACCCCAUUGUUAUCGACCAAAAUUAUUGCCCAAGGCACAUAAAUUGUCCUGGCCAGGUAAAGUCCUACCAAUUUAAUACAUUAUUCAUUUGGCUUUUUACAAGGGGAAUAAUGUUUGUUCCACCUCAAGAAAUUGCCCCGUUUGGAUUAGCUGUUUUUAAAAAAUUUUACUGUAGCAGAGUUUUUAGAGUACAUUUUGGGAUUUUUUAGAAAAUAUUUUGGAAUAUUUAAGAGUAUUAGAGUUUUUAAAAUCUAUUUUGAAAUUUUUUUGAAUAUUAAAAAAAAUUAAGACUACUUUUUAGAGUACUUUUUAAAAUUUUUUUAUAAUAUUUGAAAAAUUAAACAUUAUCAAGAAUGCGUUUAACUUGAUCGCGAAGUUAAUUUUCAAUUUUUUUUAAAAAAAUGACAAAGAAAAACAAAUAUCGGAUCCCCACAUCUUCCUUUGGAUAUAUCUAAAUAUCUUGAACCUUACAUAUAUUUUUUUUUUCAAUUUUUCUUUUUGGUUGACAGGUUUCGGGAGUUAAAAUAAAUGAUGUAACAUAUCGCGACAUCCAUGGAACAUCAGCAACAGAAGUUGCAGUUAAAUUUGAUUGUAGCGAGAAGUAUCCAUGCAGCGGAAUAAGAUUGGAAGAUGUGAAGUUGACAUACCAAAAUCAGAAAGCUAAAUCAUCUUGUGCCAAUGCUGCUGGAACUGCACUUGGUUUGCUUGAGCCUGCAAGCUGUUUGUAGGCAAAGAUCAUAAGUCAAGAAAAAAAAAAUGCAGAUGAUUUUGCAUCUAGAAAAAUGAAAUUGAGAGUCGAAAGGUACGUGGAGGCUCGUCGCUAAAAGCCCCUUUCAAAUUUAUUAUAUAGAUUAGAUCUUGCUUGGGCCUGUGGUGUUGGCAUAUGUUCAUUGUUCGCCUGGACAUGCAAGAAUCUUGAUGAGUAGUAAGUAACAAUACCAUUGGAGGGCUAUGAUGACUGAUUUCGUAUUUUGGAAUGAAUUUGAUUUUGAAGUAUCCAGUGGAAUUGUUUUGUCCUUGUCCUGCAAAUAUAUAUAUAUAUAGAAAGUAUUUAUUAGUUUAAUUAAUGCACUUUAUACCUCAAAAAAAAAAUCAUCCAAAUACAAGUUGGGGUAAAGGGCAAAUCUCACAAUAAGAGGAGCAAUUGAGUAGAGCAUUGGGUCAAAGAAUAUCUUUCAUUACAGGUAAAACUUCUUUGAGCCCAAUGGAUUUAUAAAAAUAAGGAUUAAGUUUUUAUCCACUGUCAAUAACAACAGGUAUGGAUGUAUAUCAAUUAUGUACAAAGUGAAUUUCAAAUGUGAAAUUAGAUUAUCCGGUGGCACGUGGCUACGUCUGCCUGUGUAUACAUUAACAUUAACAGUGUAUAAAAAAUUAUCCUAAAAACAAAGUAAACAAAUGAAUUAGCAAAAUAAACCCCAUCUUUCUCUCCUAACAAUCUCGAAUAAGAAAAAAAUUAAUAAAACAACAAAAAAAGGGGAAAAGAAUCACUUGAAAAAAAGAAAAAGAGACAUAAAAUAUAUAUAUAUAUAUAUAUAUAUAUAUAUCUUGAAAGGAAGAUGCAGCUUAUUGGAGCCUGUGGAAAAGCAUGGCUAGUGAAAUUAGUUGUAUCCCAACAAUAAGAUGCAUAUAUAUAUAUAUAUAUAUAUAUAUAUAUAUAUAUAUAUAUAUAUAUAUAUAUAUAUAUAUAUCUUGAAAGGAAGAUGCAGCUUAUUGGAGCCUGUGGAAAAGCAUGGCUAGUGAAAUUAGUUGUAUCCCAACAAUAAGAUGCAAAGAUGAUAGUUUUUUAAAAACAGAACACCAAGCUCAUUCGAGGCAAAGCAAAACAGAACAGCAUCACAAAGAACUCAGCGACACAUAUAUACGUGUACAUGAAAUAGUUUUAUCAUAAUCUAAUUGUUAGAUCGGAGCUAUUAAAUUGUUGAAAUAGAAAAACGUACACAUAGACAAAUUGUGGAGAAAGCUUGAAAAUCGCCUGUGUCUUCGGUUGCCAUCAAGCCAUCACGUUAGGGUGACAGUUGCAUGAGAUAGAAGAUGUAGACAGGAAAUAUGUUCGCCUGUGUCUUCGGUUGCCAUCAAACCAUCACGUUAAGGAAAUAUGUAGACAGGAAAAAAACUAUCUCCCUGUACUGUCAUUUGUUGGAAAAAAACUAAGACCUUAUUGCGAGGCUCAUUUGAGUGUGCUCAAUGAAAAAAUGAUAGUUCUCCCUGUGAGUUUAGUCCCACAUCGAAACUUAGCAUGAGUGAGUAGCAAGAUUUAAAUUCCUCAGGGCUUGCCUUCCAGUCAGCAAUUGCCUGGAUGGGUAAGUCUUAUGGGUCCUCCCUUAGGUUGAAUGAAACUCUUUUUAGUGUGCGUUAAGUUAUAGUUAAAUUAUCUCUAGAGCUGUAAACGAACCGAAACGAAUCGAGUAUUUCAUGUUUGAGCUCUGUUCGUUAAGCGAUUCGAACUCCGUUCGUGUUCGUUAGUUAACUUUCGAACUCUAAAUCUGUGUUCGUGUUCGGCUCGUUAAGUAAAGUUCGUGUUCGUGUUCGGCUCGUUUAAUAUAAACGAGCCGUUCGCGAACACGCUCGAAAAGGUCGAAUCCAGAUUAUUCUAGGCCUUAAAUAUGCCACACAAAUCAUUAAUCAUCCUAAAAAAUAAUUAAAAUACUAAAUGACUAAAUUCCAUUAUUCAAUAACUGCAUAACCAACAUUAACAUAAAAACAACAAAUAAAACAAAGUAAUUUGUUCUUCAAAUAUAAAAAUUCGGCCAUAAGACAAGUACAAAUUUUCGGCAGCAGCCAAUGGGGAAGGAAAACAAAAGUAAGGUUGGAAAGGGAAGGGGAAAGUUUUAGAAUUUUUUAUGAGUAACCCUAAAAUUUGUCAAAUGAUACAACAUUGACUUUUAUGAGCCAACAAAAGAUGGAGAUAAAUUUUGGGACGCUCUUAAAAUUUUGUCAAAUGAUAAUUAUGUAUUUGUCAUACGCAUGUAACCGGAUAGAAUCGUAUAAAAUACAACAGCAUUGAGUCCUUGUCCCAAAAGAUGAGACGUAUAUUUAUUUUAUCUUAAAGGCGUUAUCAUUUACAAUGCAAAAACAAAUGCAAUUAGGGGGUGAUGAUAUUUUUUAUGUACUCCCAGCGUCCCAAAAUUUGGGACGCUCUGGGAAACACACUUUUUAUGUAUAGUAAUAUUAUGGGGACACACUUAUCUGAAUCUUCCAAUCGUACCCUUUGCUGUUUGUGGAGUAAAACAACAAACUGUUGAGGACCACUUGCCAUUAAGUCACUUUGACUAAAAGGCAAAGACAAUCAGAAGGGUAUAACUUCCGAUGAUGUGUUAUGGCUGGGUCCAUCAGACUUGGUUAGUGCAAUCUUAACUUUUCAAUAGAAGGGUAUAACUGAAAAAUAAUUUUAAAAGUGGUUUGACUUUUUCAAAGUGACUCAAGUUUUGGGACAAGCAAAAAGUGGAAAUAUGACAUUAACAAUGGGACGGAGGGAGUACUACUUAUGAUGUGCCCUUAAGGCACAUAGUAGAAUAAGUUUAUUCUAUUUAUGAUUAAUGUUGUGUUAGUGCAAGAAUUUUCUUACACAUUGACUUCAAUAGUUAAUAUUUAUUGUAUCUUCAAACUUAUAACCACGGUCUACAUUUUAAAGGCAUUAUGGAUCUUAAGUCCACAAGAGCGAAAAAAUUGGUGUUGAAUUCGCCUCGAGUUGAAAAAAUUCGAGAAAAUUGUAAAGAUACAAAUACAUUGAUGCUGAAAAUUACAUAGCAUUCCUAAAAGUAUUUGUAUUUUAAUACGAAUAAACUAUUUGUUUAUUGUCUUUCACUUAAGUUGUCAAUUUUUUUUCAACAAUUAAUAUUUGAUACAAGUACAUAUAUCAUUCUACUGUUGACCUUGAUCACGUUAGAUUGUUUAAUUAGGCCGGUCACCUAAAUUGUAGUUUAUGCAUGUUAAACUCAUUAAUUAUAUUAAUAAUUACAGAUUCCACCGUACAUCUCCAAGUACAUAUCUGACCACAGAUCCACGUUAAACUUUGAUAGGUUGCACUUUUGCACUAUAUAUAAAUAAUCUCAAGAUUAGUAACUCCUUAAUCUACUCAAACUUGAUUUCCAUUCUCCUCUCCUUUUUACUUUCAUUGCCUUGAAGGCUAAUAAUCUAACAAUGGCCAAAUGCAUUUCGAUUCUAUCAAUCCUUUUUCUCUCCAUUCUUUGCCAUUUCACUCCACAUAUUGCAGCUUAUAAUGUGGUACAUUUUGGCGCACGGGGAGAUGGAAUAAAAUAGGUUGAAAAUGUCACUAAUCAAUUGUAAAACAAAGAAAUCAAAAGGCAGAAUUGAGAAAAUGAGAUUACAAAGAAACCACCGACAAAAAAAAAAAUAUAUGGAGUCUCAUGCAAUAACUGAUCGAUCUUUUAUAUCCUUUACCUAUGCAACAACAGUUUUAUUGUUUUGAAAACUUUUAGAUCGGAUACCUGACCAAGUAUAAUGAUCCCAAUGUCCCCAAAAUUACGUUGCUUUUACAUGAUCAUGUUUCUGAUUUCUUGUAAGAAACUCACAUCUUAUCUGUCAUUCCUUCUUAAUCAUUAGCGAAUAUGUUCCCAGCAGCUAGAGUCCCGCCGGUGUCUGCGGUUGCCAUUAAGAUAUCACGUUGUAUGAACACUUGCAUGAGCUAUAGGUGGUGCAGAAACAAAUAUAUCCUUUAGCUCAGAAUCAGUGUAUACACCAGCGCGUUUAGAUGCCUAUCACACGUGCAAAAUUUAGUGUUCAAAUUGUAACAUAUAUCUCGAUUUGUUAUUGUAUAUAUAUACUGACAGUGUAGAAAAGAUUAAUCGUUCAUAAAUAUACAAAAGUGCUAUUUGUUAUAGACUUAUAGUGCAUACUUUGCUACAAGGCCUUUCCUCUUUGGUUUGUAAACAAAAUUUAGAAAAAGAAAAGGGAAGUUUGAUGUAUAAGGUUAAGUCGGUCACUAAUAAAUCAUAUUCAGGUAAGAUAGUCUAAUAUUUUUUUGCAUAACUGUUUGUGAGUUAUAUAAUCAGAUUAAUGCUUUUUCCUAUAACUAUUGGUGCAGAGAAUUUUUUUUUUAUAUUAACUGUUCUAAAUAAUGACACUUAAAUUUGAAAUUCAAUUUAUACACAUAUAUUAUGCAUUUUGCACUUGCUAGUGAUUCAAAAAAUACACAUAUUAAGUCUAGUGAUUAAAAAAUACACGUAUUAAGUAGGAAAGAUCAAUUCUAUGUAUAAGUGUCAUAUUAUCAAAAAUCUAGAAAAUGAGCCUUCACCCUUAUCAUUAGUGCAAUCGAAGCUUCAAAAUGUGAGUUUAGAGGAAGUGCUUGCAAUUGCACAUACCCUGGCUUGUCUGGUUGAUCUUCAGAUAAAUUAAGUGGAGGACAUCAAUUUGCAAAUAAAAUUUGCAUUCAGCUGAUACAGGAAGCUUAAUUCAAUGUAUACAGUUCCAGCAAAUGAUCAUCUAGGUAGAAAAAGCUUUUGCUUAUUGGUAUCGGACACACAAGAAUCAAUUCAACUAAAUUUAAUGUAUACAAUCGAGAUAAUCAAUCAAUCAAUCAAUCAAGGUUGAACGAGUGUUUUCAACAGGCGAGAAUUGAUUAACAAUCAGUUCAUGCAGAUAUAUCAUUUUCUCUGUUCUUGAGUAGCAUGCAUGAAAUGCCUAUUCAAUAUAUAUGUCCAGCAAUGUCUUUGAAUUGUUUGUCAAGACUUUUUUUUCCCCCCUUCUUGAAACAGAAGACAGAAAAUAUUAUGAUUAUAAUUAUCUUAAUCACAACAGAUUGGCGUCAGUCACAUGUUCAAGAGACUAAAUUGUUGGUGCUUCCUGCGUUAAUCAUGGAUCUUAAAUUCCCAAGUAUAUAUUAGCAAAUAAAAUUCAUGAUUACAAUACUAAUACCUUGCUUAAUCUGCCCCGAUAAAGAAUCUAAACCCAAAUUCCACCGUACAUCUCUGAGUACAUGACGUGGGAUUAACAGGUUUAACAUUUUAAACACCUACAUUAAUCAAUGCAUUCUUGGACUACUAUAAAUAAUCAGAGGUUGCUUCUUCAAUCUUCUCAAACUUGACAUAGAAUUAAUAUCCAUCAACCUUUCCCCUUCCUCACUUCUUGUCUGAGAAAGGCUGAACAAUGGCGAAUCCCAUUUGCAUUUCAGGGAUACUUUUUCUCUCCAUUUUCAGCCUUUAUUCACCCCUCAUUGCAGCUUACAAUGUAGUAAAUUUUGGUGCCAGGGGAGAUGGGAGAACAGAUUCCACAGCAGCAUUUCUCCGGGCCUGGAUGUCAGCUUGCAGCUCAGCUAGCCCGGCAACAGUUUACGUGCCCCGAGGGAACUUCUUGAUUAGAGCGGUAUCUUUCUCAGGGCCCUGUAGGAGUAGAAUCCAGUUCCAAAUAGAUGGAACUCUUGUUGCUCCUGACAAUUAUUAUGUCAUUGGCAACUCUGGAUUCUGGAUUUUGUUUUAUAAGGUCAGUAGGCUGACAAUCAGUGGCGGAACCAUCGAUGCCCGGGGAAAUGGAUUUUGGUCUUGUAGGAAGAACGGCAACAAUUGCCCGGCUGGAGCAAGGGUAAGUCUCCUGAUCAAAGAAUUGUUUUUGAUUUGACACAUUUGGCCUGUGGAAAUUAAUUGAGUCAAUUCUUUAUGAUUGAUUGAUUGAUUAACAAUGGUGAAAUUGAAUGCAGUCGAUGAUGCUAAUGUGGUGUAACGAUGUAUUGGUAAGCGGAUUGACAUCAUAUAAUAGCCAGACAAUUCACAUUGGCAUCGACAACAGCAGCAAUAUGAAGUUACAGAAUCUGAAAAUCACUGCCCCAAGUGGAAGCCCCAACACAGACGGCAUACAUGUGGAAUCAUCUACGGGUGUCACAAUUGUGGGCAGUACCAUCAAGACAGGCGAUGACUGCAUAUCAAUUGGUCCUGGCACCAUGAACCUGUGGAUUUCAAAUAUUGGCUGUGGCCCUGGACAUGGAAUCAGGUAAAAAUAGACAUUGUCGUGCAUUUUCAAUUUGCAUGAGCCCAAUAAGAACAGAUGAUCAGGUUCCAUGGAGUUGUCUAGCUAUUACAUUUUUCCUGGUUCAGUACUUUCUGCUGCCACUGAUUCUAUGAUGGUCAAUUGCCCGGUCAAUUAUGUACUAAUUAAUUACUGAGAAAAUUACACUUUACCCCCUGUGGUUUAGUAUUUUUCUACAUAACCCUCCUAUGAUUUCGAAAAACUAUACAUAACCGCCUCAUAAUUUGGAUUAAAAUGUCAAAAUAACGGAAAUAGUCAUUCGUAGCAGAACUUUUAAAAAUGUCGAAAUUACCCUUAUAAAUACAUGACACACUAACCCCGUAUAAUUUUUAUGUUUUAUCAUAUAACUCCCUUAUGAUUUAAUGAUUUACCAUAUAACCUCCCUAUGAGUUUCAAAAUAUACACAUAACCCUCCUUGGUAGGGCUGUCAACGGGUCGGGUCCGGGCCGGAAUUCAUUAUUCCUGACCCGGACCCGAAUUACUGUACCGGAACCGGAUCCGACCCAUUUACCCGACGGGUCUUUUAUUCUAUGUUCCGGAUCCGGAUCCGGCGGGUCCCGGAUCCGGGUCGGGUCUACCCGCACAAAUUUAGCAAAAUUUAUAAUUUCUAAUAAAAAUGAAAAAAAUAUAUAUUUGUAAACUAAUUUCUAACUAAUGCAAAGAAAAAACCAAAUAAGAAAAGAAAUCAAAUUGACUUUAUUCAAAUACAUUAUCCUAAUCAAAUUAUAUUGAUAAAUAUAUAUUUUUUAAAUUAUGAAUUCAUUUAUAUCCGGAUCCGGGUCUAAUACGGGUCGGAAUACAAUAUUCCGUAUCCGACCCGUUUUUUUGUUUGACAAAACGGAUCCGGAUCCGGAUCCGGAAAACGGAAUUAAAUCCCCUACCCACACCCGCAAUAAUUUCACGGAUCCGAUCCGGAUCCGGGUCUAGACCCGACCCGUUGACAGGCCUACUCCUUGGUUAAUAAAUAAUUUUCAACUUUAUAUAAGAGUAUUUUUUAUAUUUUAGACGACUCCGUUACGAAUGAUCAUUUCCAUCACUUUGACACUUGAAUUCAAAUCAUGAGGGGGUUAUUUAUAGCUUUUAAAACUAUAGGAGAAUUAUGUAAAAAAACUAAAUCACAGGGGAUAAAGUGUAAUUUGUCCUUAAUUAUUUGUACAAUUCUAAUCCAUCUCUCAUGAGCUUUUCAAACUAUAGUUUAGUGGAGUAUUGAGUUUUUCAAGGCACCAUGGGGGGAUCCCAACCGGCAAACACAUUAUUCACCAAAGAAACUGAAUUAAUAGUAACUGAAUUCUUAAAAGUUACACCCAACUGAAGAGAAAGUAAUUAAUGAGAGUACAUCUGAUUCUUGCAUAUUUCAUUUAUAAUAACCUCAAUUUUACUAAGUUGAUCUCGUUGCAGCAUUGGUAGUCUGGGCAAUAGUUACCAUGAAGCUGGAGUCCAAAAUGUGACAGUCACCGACUCCGUUUUCACCAACACAGAGAAUGGGGUUCGGAUAAAGUCAUGGGCAAAACCAGGUGGUAGCUAUGCAAGAAGUCUCCUCUUCAAGAACCUGAUAAUGACAAGUGUUGCAUAUCCCAUCAUCAUUGAUCAGAAGUAUUGUCCAGAUAACAGCUGCCCACAUCAGGUAAUUCUUCAAUUACAGAUCUCUAAUUCACCUUCCAUUAGGGAUUGAUUUGGAUAUUGAACACCAGACUCCCCAUCAGAUACCUAAUACAUACUCCUAGCUGCUUAGUUUAACCAAAAAAGAAAAAGGGCAAAUUACAUUUUACCCCCCUGUGGUUUAGUAUUUUUUCUACAUAACCCCCUACGGUUUCAAAAGCUAUACAUAACCCCUCUCAUGAUUUGGAUUAAAGUGUCAAAAUGACGAAAAUAGUCAUUCGUAACGGAACUUUUAAAAAUAUCAAUAUUAGCCUCAAAAAUACAUGAUACACUAACCCCGUGUGGUUUUUAUAUUUUAUCAUAUAACCCCCUUAUAGUUUAAUGUUUUAUCAUAUAACUCCCUUAUAGCUUUCAAAAUAUACACAUAACCCCCCCUUGGUUAAUAAAUAAUUUUCAACUUUAUAUAAGGGUAUUUUUGAUAUUUUAGGUGACUGCGUUACGAAUGAUCAUUUCCGUCACUCUAACAUUUUAAUCCAAACCAUGAGAGGAUUAUAUAUAGAUUUUGAAAUCAUAGAGAGGUUAUGUAAAAAAACACUAAACCACAAGGGGGUAAAGUGAAAUUUGCCCAAAAAAAGCGAAAGUGGUUUCACUUUCAGUUUAUCAACUUUCAAAAAUCUCAAAUUCAUCACAUUCAACAUUGACUUGGCCCAAGGAUUUGCUACGACCCUAGUUACUGUAUUAAUCUACAUAGCCAGUUAGACCCUAUCUCGCGCUGCAGCAGAUGAAAACAUCUCAAGUUUUUGAGUCAAAGUAAAAUCAGCGCCCAAGUUUCGACUGGUGUUUUAAGAGCAGGACAGAAUAGCAGGUCACUCAAGAUCAGAGCCAGCGUUUCAAGAGUUGGACUGAAUAACAACGACUCAGUCGAGAUCAAGAUUUAAAAGAUUUCGACUAUUAAGAUCAAUAUCAAAUAAUUGGAUGACAUUACAAACAUACAGAUAUAUGAAUGAUAAACAACUAGAUAACAUGAAUAAGUAACAUAAAAAGUACACAAAAACAUAAAGAAAUCUUGGUUUCUUGACAGAUUUUGAUAUGAUCAACUGAUUGCUGGUCUAUUCAGUUCACUCAACCCCAACAAUCACUCGAUUUUCGAUCAAAAUAGCUGGUCCAAGAUGAAUUUGAAGGCGCUAUUCUCAGCCACAACACGUUUUCCUAUGCUAAUUUAGACUAGUUAAUACUCUCUCCGUCCCAUUUUGAUAGUCCUGUUUUCCUUCUUCGUCUGUCCCAAAUUGUAGUAUCAUUUAUCAACAACAUUUGACUUUCAUCUCAUUUCUAAAGUUUUCACUAAUUUCUUUGUUUUCUUUAAUUGUGUGUGUGUGUGUAUGUGUGGAUAUACUACAGAGUUCUGGAGUAAAAGUUAGUCAAGUAAUCUACAGAAACAUAAAAGGCACUUCAGCAACCCAACAAGCAGUGAAGUUCGAUUGUAGUUCCAGCAAUCCGUGCAGUGGAAUCAUAUUACAGGACAUAAAACUCACUUACUUGAACCGUUUUUACAAGCCAACAGUGGCCUAUUGUAGCAAUGCAAUCGGAAGACAAAGCGGCGCAGUCUUUCCAAAGAGUUGCUUCUGAUGAUAAAGAAUUUAUGCAAGACUGAUACAUAAUCACAAUUUUAUGUGCAUAAUUUUAAGCUACGGGUUGUGGGAUUUUUUUUUUUUUUUUUCUCGGAGAGCUGUACCUUGUCUUAAUUUGAUAUUAUUUUUCCAAAUUAAGACAAGUAAGAUGUGUAUCUCAAUUGUUAGACCUUCCAUGUUAUGAAUUAUAAUGAGAAGUGUCUCUUAUUAAUGCUUUAAAUUUGUUUUUGGUAUUAGAUAUAUGUAUGUUGUUUUCCACACAAAAUAGAUCGGGAAAAAAAAAAGUGCACAUACCACACACAAAUAAAGGUCCAAUUCCCCUUUCUCUUCCUCCUCUCUACCUCUUUCUUGUCCAUUCCUCAUUCGAAAACUUCUUUCCCAUGGGACAGUACUAGUUGUGUUUGGAUUGCAUUUUCCGUCAUUUUUCAUGGAAAAAUUACUAUAGCGAUUUGAUAUAUGUGAGGGAAAAAGGUGAUAGGGAAAUGUGAUCACGGAAAACGACAAUAUUUUUUGACGGAAACAAGCAAUCCAAACAAGUCUCCCACUAGAAUUUUUUCAUGAGAGCUUUUAUCUUCUCUACAACUUUCUAAUUAAUGAGAGUUUCUUCUUUUAAGAUUGUCCAAAUUAUAGUUCCCUCUUUCUUAAUAUUUUCCUUCUAAGAGUUUUUGUUCCUUCUUUUUCCUUUUUUUCAUUGUUAGAUCUAAGGUUUUCUAUAAUUUGUUUUGUCAAAUCUGCUAUUUCUUAGCUUGUUUUGUCAUAUCUAAAUUUGAUGGUUUGGCCUUGUGAUACUCAAAUAGUAUAUCUAUUGACAAUAUUUUACUUUGUUCCUCGACCGCAAUUAGUGGUGGAGCCUCGUUGUUGGGGGGUGGAUAAAUUCAAAUUGUUCCCUUAAACUUUCAAAAAUUACAAAUUUGGCACACAAAUUUUCAGAACUUUUCAGUCCAAUAUACCAUUUGAAAAGUAGGUAGGUUCAUUACUUUAGACAUCAGUGAAAAUAAAAAGACAAUAACACUAUGCACGAGGAUAACUUUGUCAUAAAACCAAAAGCAAUUCGAGCUCAAAUUAUUAUGAAGUUUUAUGUCAAAACUAAUCAUAAUGAAGCUAAUUAGAUUGAGCUCGAACUUGCUUUUAUAAUGAGAUUAAGCUGAGCUUGAAUUUGCUUUUGCUAAUUAAAAUUUAUAUUAGGGAGCUAACCUUAGUUAGGUCUUUAAGAGUCACCUAACAAAUAAAGAAAAGAAAAAUGGAUGGAAGAGAGAUGAAGAAAAUGGUUCAUAAAAUCAGCCAACAUCUUUUUCAGUUUCACUAGCCUAGCUAGCUAGUAGAUUUCAUGCUUGAGCAGGGCCAUAUUCUCCGCAUAUCCCAACAACAGCCCCCGGAAUGCAGUAGCUGCCGCAACCAGGUGUAUUCCGGCAAUCAUCAUGGCUAUAACACCCGCAUCCAUCUGUGUAGUCAGUCGGCAACAUUUUUCUCAUCAUCAGUACUGUUUCUUGCUGUACAGGAAUCAAUUUUCUGGCCUCUACCUUGGUCGAGAGCAGCUCCAUAACAGCUGAAAUUGAUCAACGAUGUCAAAUUAGUCAUACAUAAUGUGUGUAUAUGUGUGUGUGUGUGUGUGUGUGUGUAUAUCCUGAGAGAAAGAAAGACUUACAAGAUUGUGCAAGCAAUAAGAGCAGAAUUAGGGAAAAAAUUGGCUUAACUAAUGAAGGGCUGAGAAGCCUUCUUUCCAUCUCUUGCAGCAAUGUUAUGUGGAGAACAAUUUUGCAACUUCAUAGUACAGGCUAACUUUAUUUGCUGGUAUAUAUUAUAUUGCCAAAAGUCAUUGGAAAGAUCAUGAACUUGUCUGCCAUUUGCAAUUAAUGGAGAUCCUGAAAUCAAGUGUGGACUUGUUAUAGAUGUUUUUAUAGUUGGAUCAGACUCAAAAAUUUUCGAAUUUCAUUUCCCUCCACAUUUUCUUUACUUGUCCGCCAUUACUGAAUCAAUGGAACAUAAACUUAGAAGAAAGGCAGAUAUGUUUGAUGGAGUCAAAGAAGAGGACACUGCAUUUUCUUCAGUCAAAAGAGUACACGUUUGAGUCUCUCUAGGUCACUUUUAUAUAUUACUCCUUGUCCUUGAAUGGUGCUAAAGUAAGUAAUCCUUCUAUAGUGCCUUUUUACUCUUCCAAUUGCUCUGGCUCAUCUCAUAUUUACCAACCUAAAAGCCUAAAAGUGUAAUGUUUCUCAUUGCAUAUGAUAUCUUGGGGAUAUAGGUAUUGGUUUGUUUGAGCAGUGCUUUAUUUGCUUAUAUUAUCGACACAUUUUGAUCAUCUUUUUAUGUAUAUACAUCAUAUCAAAAAUGUAUUACAGAUUUUUUUUCAAAAAAUUAUUCCAAAUAAUCUCCUAUCUAGUCAUUGAAAUAAUUAUUGCUACGUUUUUUGCAAUAUAAUGUAUAUGAAAUAAAAAAUAUACGUUAAAAAAUGUGUUUGUGAUGCAAAAAUAAUAAUUUUUUUGAUAAAUAAGAUUGCUUGCAGUCCAUCUUUGCAUCGUAAAUAUGUUUUCUUAGAAGCGAAAUCAAUUCCAAGAGCAGUAAUAUCAUGUUUCAGCUUUUCUUGUGACCAUUUGAAAGCAUGUUUGAAUUUGCUAUGUACUAAGUAUAACUUUUCAUUUUUCCUAGGUGAAAAUAGGUUGUAGACACGUAAUCCAGCAUGAUUUUACACUUCAUCUGAGCCUAAUUUGCAUUAUUAGCAAUAUUUGAACUUGUUCAAGUUUGUGCCACUCGUAAACAGAGAGUUAUUCAUAAACUGACCCUAAUGAAGUUUCGAUUACAUACAUCGAACUCCUUAAAUAUUCAAGAAUGCAGGAAGUGCAAGUAUGCCCUUAACCCCUUACAGAUUUUCCACUUCGGUUAUGUAACAUGUUUGUUUGGAUUGUGAAUUAUUAGAGAUAUUUUUACUGUAGCACUUUUUGUGAUGUGAUGUAUGUGAGAUAAAAAGGUAAUUGGGAAGAUAAAAAGGUGUGUUGGAAAUUGUAAUGAUGAUAUAAACAAAUAUAUUUUGACAAAUAAACUGCAAUUCAAACAAAAUAUUUUUUUCACACGUAUGUUUGUGAUAUAAAGUAAAAGUACCCAGAGAAAAAAAAAAAGAACAAAAGAAUUUUAUGUAAUUCUUUUUUCUAGACUAUGUAAAAGGUAGUACUAUUAUAGUAUUAUGGAUAAUUGCACAUUGCCCCACCAUUGUUAUGCUAGACAUCAUUGUUGUUAUCUCCUUGCAUAGUUUUGCUGAUGGUUUAAAGCAAGACAUUGCAUAAGUAGGCAUGGCCAUUAUUACAGCUUUCAACAUCACUUCGUUCCCAGCAGAGCAUAGGAGCUUAUUUCUCCAGCUUUGCAGCUUAUUUUUAAUACUCUCUUUUAUGAAUCCAAAGACAUGGUCUUUGGUUCUUGUUAUCACCAUUGGUGGUCCGAGGUGUUUUCCUUGGGUAAUUGCUUGAAUUCCCCCUAGUGCCUAUGCUUGAACUCCUUGGGUGUUUUUAGUCUCUUUUCCUAGGAUUGUCCCUUCCUCUACCUAUAUUUUGCCUAUGCUGAUUAAUGAUGUACUCAAACUAAAAGCACCAAGAAGGGUGCCUUGUACAUAUGGUGAUUUAAAGUAUUGGAAUUCUUGUUUUUUCUUCCAAAAAAAAAAAAGAAACAACAUAUUAUAUGAAUACCAAUAAUUAAAAUGUAAUUGGAAUACAACAUAUUAACUGUAUCCCUGAAAAAUGCAAGGAUAACUGAGUCAUGACUAUGGUCAUUCACCAAUAUGAGUAAUGUGAAUUUAUUUUUUUUAUUUUCUUUUCUUGUGUUCAAUAUUUUCUUGCAUUUUAGACUUUAGAGAAGGAACAUAGGGUAAAUUACUUAAUACCUCCUGUGAUUUUAUAUAAUGUUAGAUUAUCUCUCUAAGGUUUUAAAAUAACCACACAAUCCCCCUGUAAUUUCAUGUAACGUAGAAAAUAGAUGGAAUGCACAAUCAAUUAUGUCUUUUAUACCAAAUGCGCUCUAACAGUGCUUGUGAUAAAAUUUUAAUAUCCAUGUAACCCCCUUAUGAUUUAUAUAAAUAUCCACUUUACUCCCUAUGAUUUUUGCAUUUAUCCAUAUAAUUUCCCUAUACUUUUAUAUAAGGUGAUUAAGCUAUCGAUUGAUUUAUCCUUUAAGUAAGAGCACUAGCACUAUUGAAACGUUAAAGGUGUCACAUGAUAAUAGAUGAAACUAUAGGGGAUCAUAUGCAAUUUACCCUUUUCUACAUACAAGAAUGCUGCAGCUACACGUGUCACGUGGACUUUCCAGGACGUGCUUAAACGUUGACCUGUGCAAAUGAAGGCCGUACUAAACAAGGACACACAUGCAUUCUAUAUUAAUUCAUACGUAAAUUUUUGAAGGUUACAAAACUUAAAAUACCAAUAAAACUAAUAAUAUGAUUCUCUACCAUUAUCCCAAUAUUAACUCUUAUAUUUGCGUAUGAAAUGUUAAUUUAUUUAAAACGUUAUUACCUUAUUAUUAUUAUUAUUAUGUGUAUAAAUCUAUAGAAGUUAUCGCAUUGAAAGGUACGACAUUAUCAUCCUUGAAAUUCUAAGUUUUAUUUUAAAUUUUGAAAUAUAAAUUUUCAAAUGUAAUACAUCAAAAUUUUAUUACUUUUUUACGGUUACUUUUCAAAAUAUUUUUAUAAUGUACGAAAUAUACAUUUUUUUUAAAUUAUACAUAUGAACAUCUAUUAUACGAAUACAAUACGAGUAUUUACUAAUUCACCUAACAGUCAGUCAAGUGUACCAAACCCCUGCACUUAGAAAAAUAAAAAAAAAAAUCCAUGCAAAGUGCCAUAAUCAUGAACCCUUUUUUUUUUGAGGUGUUCCCAAGGAGUGGACUCCGCAGACUAUUCCCCACCCUCCACAAUUUGCUGACAGUAAGGUUCGAACCAGGGAAUCAUGAACCCUUCUAAUUAAUCUAUAUAUAGUUGGAUCUUCACCCUCUAGAAUUAUAAACCCUAGUAAGAAUUGCCGAACCUAGAAAACAAAAACAACCCAUUAUUUUGGCUUAGAAUUAGUUUUAGGUUUCAACAAGUCAACCAUAUAUGAUACGUCAAGUGGUUCAUGCAUGCAAUUGCUUUCAAUGACCGUAAUUUCCAUGAUUGUACACGUGGCGGCCACCAAGCUUUUACAUAACUCUUCUUCUUUUUGAAGCCAAAAGAGAAGACUAGUGAACAAAUCUUUUCUUUUUGUUUUUUUUUUUUUGGGUUCAAACUAAUUAACAAAGAAUGAUUGGAACAAUGGCGGAAGUGGUGAUGUACAUUUUAGGAUUAAAAUUAAACAGCAUUAUGUGUUAAUCAAUUACAUUAAUUAAAAGCCUCUUACUCCUUUUUUCAUAUUGAUGUUCACUUUGAUUAGGGCCUUCCACAUUUGACAGUUUGGUGAUUAACUAGACUCGUAGCAAUUGAAUACCAUGACCAUUUCAAGAAGUCAAUCAUAAUUAACCUCUUCAAUUAACAUCCACUUGUACUAUUGUACAUGAUAAAUUUUCAUCCUGGCUUAACAUAAUCCAAACAGAGCGUGAACUAACCACUAAAAAAAGACUCUGAUUAAUACUUGAGCAAAUUUGUGAGACUCUGAGUCAUGUGCAAAUUCAGCCAAAUGAUUGUUGGUUCAAUGGUCCCAAUUAUGAAUUAUUUGCAAAUGUCUCUUAAUCUUCUUUGGACUUUUUAGCAAUCAACUAAUCAAGGACUUAGAAUUAUCACAAGAAAAUGAGCAAACAUGCUCUUUCAGAUUGCUUAUCAGUCACAUGGUCUCCGUACAUAUCUUAACAUGCAAUUGAAGUAGGCCAUGACGUACCCUUUAAACAACAGUUGACUUGUUCAUUCAUCAAUCAAUCCAUAAUCAUUAACAGGAAAUAACUGCUUCCAACUGAUCCCAUUCCCUACAGAACCUGUAUAUGUAGCACCAGCAGCACCAAUCAAGAUCACACAUUCGCCAAGCUUUGUAUUACACUGCUGCAAUUGUAGCAGAAAAAUGGCUAGCAGCCUGAGAGCUUCAUGCAUUUUCUUACUAUCAUUGACAGCCCUUUUGACCAUCACAAGUGCUGCAACCUUAAAUGUGAUCAGCUUUGGUGCAAAAUCAGAUGGCAGGACUGACUCAACUCAGUCAUUCCUCAAGGCCUGGGCUUCAGCUUGUAGCUCUGUCCAGGCAGCCACCAUCUUCGUCCCUCGAGGGCGUUACUUGAUAAAGGCAGCAGUGUUUAGAGGGCCAUGUAAAAACAGGAUUACUGUGCGAAUUGAUGGUACUCUUGUAGCCCCUGAUGAUUACUGGGGUCUAGGAAACUCAGGCUACUGGCUAUUGUUCGUUCAGGUCAACCGCCUCUCGGUUAUUGGCGGAACUCUGGAUGCCAAGGGAGCUGGAUUUUGGGCAUGCCGCGCGUCAGGGAGAAACUGCCCUGUCGGAGCCAGGGUAUGUUGGAUAAAUCUUCUUUAUAGGAAUCAUGAUAGUAUUACGGUUUUUCUGUUCUUUCAUAGUUUGUUCACUACAUUUUUAUGUGCGCAAAUGCAGUCUAUAACAUUCAAUUGGGUGAAUGAUGGACUGAUCAGCGGCUUGACAUCGAUUAACAGCCAGCUUAUGCACGUAGUGGUUAACAGCUGCAAGAAUGUGAAAGUUCAAAAUGUAAGGAUUGUAGCUCCAGACCUGAGCCCAAAUACAGAUGGCAUUCAUGUCCGAGGCUCAACAGGUGUCACCAUCAGUGGCAGUAGCAUUCAAACGGGAGAUGACUGUAUAUCAAUUGGUCCUGGAACAAGAAACCUGUGGAUGGAGAAGAUAAAAUGUGGCCCCGGACAUGGUGUCAGGUAACCUCAAGUCAGAAAAUUUUCGCAGUAAAAAUAGUAAUUAGUAUUCUUCAUUCUUACUCAUUCUCAGAUUGCACAUCCCAAAGAAGAAGAAAUUAGCUAAUGGAACAAGCAUGUUAAUUGCAGCAUAGGGAGCCUGGGCAGAGAUUUCAAUGAAGAUGGCGUCCAAAAUGUGACACUAAUAAAUUCAGUGUUCAGUGGAUCCGACAACGGCUUGAGAAUAAAAUCAUGGGCAAGACCUACCACUGCAUUUGUCAGCAACAUCAAAUUUCAGAAUAUCAUCAUGAAGAAUGUGGAGAAUCCUAUUAUCAUUGAUCAGAACUACUGCCCCGUCAACCGAGGUUGUCCUCGCCAGGUAAUAAAUGAACAGAAACAGAUGAUGAUAGACCACAAAUUAAUCCAUUUCUUGCACAAAUCAAAACUUACUAAUCAACUUUCGUGUGUUUUUUGUUCUUUUUCCUGCAGACUUCUGGUGUAAAGAUAGAUCAAGUUAUAUACCAAAAUAUACAGGGAACAUCAGCAACACCGGUCGCUGUCAUUUUCGAUUGUAGUCCUAGUAAUCCUUGCAGAGGCAUCAAGUUGCGAGACAUAAAGCUCACCUAUUUGAAUAGGAAAGCACAAUCACUUUGCAAGAACAUAGGAGGAACUGCAGCGGGAGUCAUCAUGCCAGAGAGUUGUUUAUAACUCCUUUUUUUUCUCCCAUAAAUUUUUUCUCUUCAUUUAGGAUCAUACGAACACAUGAAUUCCUGCUUUCAGGGCUUGUUUUAAUUCCAACCCCAUGUAACUGCUGAUUGUAAUAAGGAAGCAAGAUAACAAGAUUUGAAUAGAUUCUGAUAUAUGAUACAAAAAACCACACCAUCUGCAGUUCAAAAUUUCGAGCGCGUUUUUUGAUGAUCUUUCUUUCCAUUUUUUUCCUGUCUUUAUUGACACACCAGUCUUAUAUAUGUGUGCUAAUUAGUAUAUGCUUAUUAUGCUAUACAAGUAAUUAGCAAAUGAUAAAAGUUAAUUAUGUACAAGUUAAUUAUACCCAUUGUAAAUAUUAACUCACAGCUAGUACAAAGAAACCAAUACGAUGUCAAUUCCCAACGCUAUUUAGCUUCUGCUAGUAGAAAAUAUUUGAGGCAAAGCAGCAGCGGCUACAACCUACAAGAUCGGCGGCUAUUCCGCCUGACAAUGCUCCGCAGUUGCUCCACGUGUCUCGUGGAACUGUAUCAGUGCCCCCACUUCUCUUCAGCCUUCACUAUGGUGUAUUAAAAAGAAAAACAAAAGUAAACCUAUAUAUAUGGAUUUGGGGCAGGGACAGUCAUCAGGCGGAUCGUUCCUGAGCAGUUCACGGUCAAGUUUGGAACAAAAAAAAUUAUACAGUCCAAAUUUCAUCUUCUACCUCGUUUUUAACAACAUGUGUGGGACUCACAAUUUUUUGUGGGUCUAAAAUUAUACGUUAUUGAAAAUAAAUUACACCAUAUAUAAACAGAGUUACGUUGUAUGCAAAAUGCACAUAAUCUUUCAUGAAUGGUUGCACCUGCAACAGUUCCCGCCCCUGGUCCCUAUAUAUAUAUAUAUAUAUAUAUAUAUAUAUAUAUAUAUAUAUAUAUAUAUAUAUAUAUAUAUAUAUAUACACACACUCACACACACACACACAUAUACAUAUGCAUUACUCCAAAAAAAUAUGAUAAAACUCUCGUUCACUAAUAGAUUAGCGUACUAACGGAUUAAAUGCACGUCAUAUGUAUAAAAUUAUAGACUUAAAUCUAAAUUUUGUAUAGAUAUUAUGAAUCCAAAGUCGUGUACAAUAUACAGUUGUUAGUGUAGAAAAAAAUUGAUCCAAAAAAUAGAGGGUUGUGACGCGUGAUAUAGAUGUAAUUUUCUUUUUGUUUUUUUUCUUGCUACACAAUUUCAAUAUUCUUUAGAUUAAAUAACAAAGUUCGAUCCCUAAGAAAAAAAUUGAUGGCUUCUUGUAUGUAAAAAAAAAAAAUUAAUAAAUAAAGUGUAUUGUAUAUUUUUUCAACGCAUAAAUAUGCUUAAUUUUACGGUAAUAUAACCAAGCCGUACUUAAGCGUUUGACUAAAUAGAGUAUAAGUGUACAAUUAAAGCCGUACUUAUGAGCUAUGAAUGAAUCCAAGGAAGAACAAAUAACAUGGCAACCAACGGGUUCAUGCAUGCAUUUACUUCCCAAGACCGUAAUCUCCAUACUUAUACACAUGGCUUCAUAAGUUUCUUUGGCUCUAAAACUAUUAAUUAUUUCUUGUUUAAUGUGAAUUGAAUAAGCCAAUUUAGAUAUAGAAUAUUCCUUUUGGCAUCAUCAAUCUAAUCAGUUAAUACUUAGACCCGUUUUUCAGAUUCAAAAUGCUACAGUGGUGUUUUUGAAAAACAAAUCCAAAAACAGCUAAUUCAAAUGGAGCCCAUGUUUUUGCAAAUAAUGGAAGAAGUUAUGUCCAUGGACAUGAGAAGAGUACAUGCAUGGAGUUGAAAGUGGGAUUUUUGGUUAUUCUUUUUUCUCAUAUAUAUGCUGCUAGAAUACAUUGAUUCUAAUUUUCAGUGCAAAUUACUAAUGUUUACUAAGGUUUGCUUCCAAUUCUUGAGUCAUUUUGAAGGAUCCUAAGAUUAUUUUCCAAAACCUUCUUAGCUAUAUAUGCUUGCAUGUAUAAGCUUGCCUACCUUGUCAUUCAUGUCUCAAUGAAUAAUAUGAGCUUUUUUUUUUUUUUUUGUGGUUCAUUGUAGUUUCCUUAUUUCUUCCAUUAAUCUUGCUUGAAAAUAAUGUUUCUAGGACCUAGCAUCUUGUAUGACAGUGCCAUUUUUACAGUUUGCAAUAAAAAAUUAGCAUUGACAUUGAAUUUUGUGGCCAUGCCAGAAAGUCAUACAAUUGAUUAAUUGAAGAUCAAGCUGUAAUUUAAAAUUAAAUCUUUGACCUUUAAGCAAUAUUCCCUUUUCAUUUUAUGUCAACCUUUUUUAUUUUAUUCUUUUCUUUAAAUGAGAGGUUUUAAACUCAGGAUCUCCGAUUUAUUUAAACCCUAAACCGCUCAAUCCAACCCUCCUCUUCUCUUCGUGUAUGUCAACUUAAACGUUAAGUUACUGUUCAAGACUAGAAGUUAUAAGCAAGCAAUUUUGUAUGCCAAAGAGCCAUGUGCUAAUUCAAACGAAGGAAUGAUAUUUGAUCAUCAGCUCAAUGGAAUCUCAAAGUGUUUAUCAAGUAACAAACCUGUUGACUUCUAAUCCCUAGCCACCACUCAUUUCUUGGUACCCAUUUGUAUAAAGUUUUCUUGUUUCAAAAACCAAAUUAAAAAGUUAGAACUAGUAUAUGAAAAUGGUGUGAAAAUGCUCUUAUGAUAGCUUAUCACAUGGUCACCGUACAUAUCAUAACAUGUAGUUGAAGUAGGCCAUGACGGACCAUGAACAACAAUUGACUAAUUCCAUGAUUCCACCAUCAAUCAUUUGUACAUUAACAGAAGAAAAUAAAAAAAAAACUGCCAUCUAACUGUUGCCUCAAUCCCUUUACCCCAGAAGACAAUCUGUAUAUAUAUGUAGCACUCAUUGCCAAGAUCAGAAUUGCACAGCUUAACAGUUCACAGAGCCAGAGGCCAGUACGCAAAAUGGCUAAGGGCAAUAGAGUUUCAUCCAUUCUUUUCCUUUCUUGCGCAACCCUUUUGAGCAUAACAAGGGCAGCAUCCUUCAAUGUGCUCAGUUUUGGAGCAAAACCGGAUGGCAGAACUGACUCAACUCAGCCAUUCCUUAAGGCCUGGGCGUCAGCUUGUAGGUCGAUCCAACCGGCCACUGUUUAUGUCCCUCGAGGGCGUUACCUGAUAAAGGCAGCAGUGUUUAAAGGACCCUGUAGAAACAGAAUCACUGUGAAGAUUGAUGGGACUCUUGUUGCUCCUGAUAACUACUGGGCUCUUGGCAACUCGGGAUACUGGCUAUUGUUCAUUCAGGUCAGUAGGCUUUCGGUCAUCGGCGGAACACUGGAUGCUAAGGGAGCAGGGUUCUGGGCAUGCCGCCAGUCAGGGAAGAACUGCCCAGUUGGAGCAAGGGUAUGUAUCCUUACCAUUUUAUUGUCGCUGAAUUUCAGUGACAGAAGCAUAUAGGAAAAAGUGAGAGAGAAUCAAUAGUUUUCAAGUAUAGUAAUUUUUUUUUUUAUUUUAUGGAUGGAGUCCGGUACCUGGGAAUUUGCAUAACUCAUAUUCACGUCUGUAAUUGCAGUCUAUAACAUUCAAUUGGGUGAAUGAUGGGCUGAUCAGCGGCUUGACAUCAAUCAACAGCCAGCUUAUGCAUGUUGUGGUUAACAGCUGCAAGGAUGUAAAAGUUCAAAAUGUAAGGAUUGUAGCUCCAGACCUGAGCCCAAAUACUGACGGCAUUCAUGUCCAAGGCUCAACAGGCGUUACCGUCACUGGCAGUAGCAUUAAAACAGGCGACGACUGCAUAUCAAUUGGUCCAGGAACAAGAAACCUGUGGAUGGAAAAGAUACAGUGUGGCCCUGGACAUGGCGUCAGGUACUCAAUUGCAGCAUUUAGGUAGACUUCCUAACAAAGGAUGUUAGCAUGUGCAAUUGACUGAUACAAAGUGUCUAAAUUGCAGCAUUGGGAGUUUGGGCAGGGACUUCAAUGAAGAUGGUGUGCAGAAUGUGACACUCACGAAUUCGGUGUUCACUGGAGCUGAUAAUGGAUUAAGAAUUAAAGCAUGGGCAAGGCCAACAACUGCAUUUGUUAGCAAUAUCAACUUUCGAAACAUCAUCAUGAAGAAUGUGGAUAAUCCUAUAAUCAUUGAUCAGAAUUACUGCCCAAACAACCAAGGAUGUCCUCGUCAGGUAAUAAGCUAGUAACCAUCAAUUAUGCAUCACAGAUUAUCAAUUGACACUAGGAAAAUCCUCCACCAUCACUUAUUCCCUUUGAUCAUUUGCCUUUUUCUUUUACAGACUUCUGGUGUAAAGAUUAAUCAAGUCACAUACCAAAACAUACGAGGCACAUCAACUACUCAGGUUGCUGUGAUAUUUGAUUGUAGUCCUAGUAAUCCAUGCCGAGGUAUCAGGCUGCACGACAUCAAGCUCACCUAUUUGAACAGGAAAGCACAAUCAUUUUGCAAGAACAUCGGAGGGACUACAAAAGGAGUCAUAAUUCCAGAAAGUUGUUUAUAAACAGUUUCAGAGCUCCCUCCAACUUUCUUUUCUUCUCUUACCAAAGAUUUUUGCUCUUUCAUUUGGACAGUUAACCGAUCGAUUCCUGGUUUCCGGGGCUUGUUUUACUUCCUAUCCCCUGUAACUAUUCAUUGUAAUCAGGAAGUAAGACUUGGGGGAUUUUCACCCUUAACUGUAGUUUAAUUAAACAGAUCCUGCUGAUGCAAGAGUCUAUCUGUACGACACUGUGAGGAAAUGAAUAGUUGUAUGUUCCUCUUCUACAGUAAUACUCUUAAUUCUUGCGCAAGUGCAUUGAAAUGACAAAUUAAAAGACAAAACCAGUAAACUAAUGAUUAAUACAUCCCUAAAGAAACGCAGUGAUUAUCCUGUUUAUGCAUGCAGUCAAACAUUCUAUGCUUGUUCUUUAUUCAUUUUUUAACUUACCUGAUGAUAUGUGAUUCAUAGACAUGGCCAAUUUAGUUCAGCUUCACUUCCAGUGCAUAGUUAACGAUAUGUUUGAUUACUUGGUCAUGUCUACAUUAUAGGUGAAUGCAAGUAGAUAGAUGUUCCCGCUUGACCAAAUUUUAGGUGAUUUUAGAACUUAUAUGUGGUGGACCACUGCAUAUUUGCUUGAGGUAUUUUCGUCAAUGUUUUGAAACUCGGACCGUUAAUUGAACCGAUGAGAUGCUCGGGUCGAAAUUCAACCAAUCGGGCGGGUUCAAUCCUGAUUCAAUGAAUUUUUUAAAAAAUAAUUUAUAUAAAUAUAUAUAUGUGCACAAAAUAAGACAUGCAAUAAACUAAUUUAAGAUUUUACAUGAUGAAAAGUUUGAUAUUUUGAAAGAAUUUGGAUUUUCACUAAAAAAAUUUUAUAAGUAUAAGUUAAAACAAACAAAUUUCAUCACAAUUUCAAUUGUAUCUGUCAAAAAAAUUAUCUUAAAUCCAAUCCAAAAAUACCACAAUAUUCUCAAAUUAUAAAAAAUUCACGUCUUUGGGAAUUAGACAUUGUGAGUUUAAAUUUUAAUUCACGUUUUUUGGAUUUAGAGAUUGCAACUUUUUAAAAAAAAAAAAAAAAAGAAGAAGAAGAAGUUUGGAGGAAAUCAGGAAAAUAGAAAAUAAAGAUGCAAACUUGAUAAGAGGCAAAAAAUGAGAAUAAAGUGAGUGAAUGUGGCAUUUAAUAUUUAAUUUUUAGAGUUAAGGAAAACUUAUUCUUUUUUUAAUUUUUUUCAAUUUAAUAGACAAAAAAAAAAAAAACCAUUGAUUCAACUGUUCAAUCCGAUUCGCAUUAUUCGACAAUUCUUGCUGGUUUUUAAGUCCAAUCAAUCCUAAGUAUGAAUCGGAUCAGAGCUAUGAAAGGUUCGCGAUCCGAUCUGGUUUUCAAAACAAUGCUUAAUGGUAAGCCAAAUUUUAAGCUAAAGUAGAAUCUUGUGCUGUUCCACAUUUAUGUGGAACAUGUUCCAACUGCAAUGGCUGCACGAGCUUUGCAACUAAUGAUCAAUUAUUGAUAAUUCUAUGCAGAGCAAAGUAAUUUUUACUCAAUCUCUUCACAGCUUAUGUAAAAGCCCCGAGUGAAUUCACAAAACAAUGAACAAAUUAUUUACAGGCUCACAAACCAGCGAGUGAACUUGAUUGUAAAAAAUGAGUAAUUUAUUUCUAAUCGCCUAAUGCUAAGGACAUAGAAUAAAUUUUUUCCUUUACUUUCUUAGACCGAAAAAUGGAUUUAUGAUAAUUUACUAAUUAUAAGGAUACACAUAUACAUAUACAUAUACGUAUACGUAUACGUAUACGUAUAUGUAUAUGUACAAGAACAAAGGGGUUGCUUUACAGGGGACUUAUUUCUUGGGGUUUAUGAUGUGCAGUUGCAGCUAUUAUGGGUGAAAAGGAAUGCUCCAUAUGCAACAUGUAAUAAGAUUCAUGUGGCAACGAGAAAGAUGAUAGUCAUAAUGCUAACCCUUAAAAAAUUGCCAAACAAAAAAAAUGGUUCAACUCCAUGACAAAUUUUUCUUUAUCUGCUUAUGCACAUCAAUCAUAUUUGGUUGAACACUCGGCGGAAUGUUCAUAACAAGAGGAUUAAUGUUUACAAUCACAAUAGGUAGAUAGAUCCAAGCUUUAAGGGAAGCCUCCUCCAAUGGGAUCUUUCAAGCUGAUGGUUGACAGUUUUCCUAAUAUCUAAAUGGGCAUAACCCUUCAAAACACUCAUUUGCACAACCAAAACCAAAAUCGCCAGAGAAUUUUCAUCCGGUGGAAGAAGCAAGUGCAUCAAAGCCACACUAUGUUGUAUCACCCACAGUUAUCAGGAAUUGGUUACAGUAAGUGUGAAAAAUACAAGAUUAGCUUUAUCAGGAGCCGCUUAAGACAAUAUUGGUCUAUCCAGUCUUCAUGUUAAUACCCCUAACGGCAAGUAAACACCCACGCUAUAAGUGCCCAGCAAAAUGGCCCUGCAAUUAAUUUGAAAUAAUCAGAAGUGCCUCUGCGGGAACAACUCCAAACACUUUCAGCGUGAAACUUUGCAUCAAAAUCACAAGCUUUUGCACAUUGUCAACAAAGGCACCAAAUAACAAUCGGAAGAACAGGAAUGUUGUGCAGUAACUACCUCAACAACUCUAAUCCUCAGUUUAGAAUGCAAAAAAAGUCUCCAUAUAAGCUCUAUUUAUGCAUCAAUGAAGCGAAGCUACAUAAGCAUAAAUAAAGCUACAUAAACCAUUGCGUAAACUGAACCCUGUCAAUAACUGGAAAUCACGAACUAAAGUUGACAAAUCACACCAUUAUCUUACUGACUCACAUUGUUCCAGUAAAAAGAACCUUCAACUUCCUGGUUUUGAACUUGAAGUGAGCCUCUUAGAGGUAUAUUCAGUUGCAAGAUCAUAUAAACAAGGUCAUAUUUCCCAUAGAGUUCCUAAUCUAGAGAAAGAGAGGACAGAAAAAGAAAACACUCUAGACAAACAAACAGCAUGUUGAACCAGUCAGGACAUGAUUUGUGAUCUACAUUGAUAUCAAAAGAAAUACUCGAGUAUAAAAUGCAUGACUUCGAUCAACUUUUUGCCACCAAUUGGACAAAGAUGCCCCUUCCAAACCCUAUGACUAGUAUAUCUACAAAUACAUCAAGCACAAGCAAAUUCAAAAAACUUGUUUAGCACCAGGUGCAUACCAUUCUCCAUGUCUAAGUCCUUACAUGAUGAUCAAGACAGCAGCAAAACUAAUGAAAAGACCCUUGAAACUAAAAUUGUUGAAAGACAAAAAGAUUCUGUGCAGAGUAAGAAUCUUGCAUCCUCUGAAUAAGAACCAAAUUAAGUAAUUGACUUCUUCAACACUCUAGAUGAAAUUGGCAGCUCAGGGAUAAGACAAAAACCAAGCUUAACAGAGUUGGUUAAAUCAUCAGUUUCCUAGUUGAAAUGCAAUGCCCAUACUUUGCUUACUUAGGUUUUAGACUAAGAAAAAUAAAAAAAAUUGGAGAAAAAAAAAAAAGACUAACCAAGUAAGAGUAAAACAACAUUUGCAUCUAGGAAAUCAUUAUCCCAGAAUAGCCACCAACUUCAUCUGCUAGAAUGAGGAAAAACUGGUUAAAUGAAUAGUUGGCUUCUCAAGACAUGAUGCCUAUUAAAUGUUACAGGCAACAUGUCAAUAGAUGUAAAAAGUCCCCAUGUAUGGGUUUUGCUAAAUAUAUAUAUGUGUGUGCGUGUGUGUGUCCUUUUUCCAAAUAUAGCAAAUUAUAAAAGUUCUGUCAAAAUAAGCACUACCAUUAGCCAACCUACAAUGGCUUCAAAAAAGGGUGAAAACUUAUUUCUCAAGAUAUCAUAAGCAAUUAAAAACCUUUGGCUUCAAAAAGCCCUCAACUAUGAUAGCACCUUUAAGCACAUAAAUAUAUAUUCCUUGAACAAAACAUAAAACUGCAUAUGCUUGUACAAAUGUCCACAUGCAUCUACAAAACCCGGCGUACAAUAUAUGUGGUAAAGAUGUAGGAGAUUCUGCAGCACAUAAGACUGACCAUCAGAUUUUGAGUGUGAGUCAGAUAGAAAAGAAGGCACAGAAUAUUAAAAGUAGCCACAAAUACCCAAAAUUGCAAACAAAUAGGCAUGACUCUAUAAGUGAAAAUCAAGAGUACACUGCUAUUUAUUUGAAUUCUGAAGAAAUUUAAAAAGGAAGUUACACAAGACACCAACUUUUGCUCUAUAUUAUGUGAGAAAUAUAAGAACUUACACCAAGUCUAUUCUAUUGUGUCUUCUUUUCCUUGUUCAGCAUGCCUGGAAUCUUUCUCAACAAUUUAUGAUCAAGCUUUCUGUACUGCACCUGAACAGAAUCAUAAGCCACCACCAACUUGAUAUCGAUUUGAUCUUGGUACUUGUCAUACAGAAAAGGUAGCGAGAGACUAAGAAGAACCCCUGAUUCAAAAGAAAAGAAGGAAGUCCAAGUUAAUCAUAUGUCAGAAAGGUUUGUAAAAUCUGACUCCAAAGAAUCAAGCAGCAAAAUAUCUCACCAAUGUAUAGCAAAGAGAGAAAGUUGAAAAAGCUGCCGAUGUAUGACACCAGCCACAAUCCUGCAGCAACCUGACCAAAGCCACCCAAACUUAAACAUCACACAAUUCGUUUUACCAAUUAGAUUUGAAAUAUGCAAAAAGCAUCACAAGAACAAUAAAACACACCUGAACAAAGAGCUUCAAGUUCCCACCAAUAGCAAUGUCACAUGCAAUCAACAGCACAUUGUUAAUCCACCCUCUCGUAACAUCAGCAGCCUUGGUCACAGUUUCCUCCGAAACCACCAGAUCAGGAAGAGGAGGUAGAGGUCUAAAAUUGCAUCAAUUUCGUCAUUCAAACACAUCGAAAAGGAAAAGCACAUCAUUUUAUAACUCUUAAAGUAAAAGAUCAACCAUUUUCAGACUCCAGGCUACUGAAAUGCCUCCUACUCCAUUCAACCAUUUCUUUCCCCUAUAUACCCAGCUGGACAUUAUGCAGUUUUCAGUGAUUACGCUAAGUAAUUAUUAAUACCACUAGUUCAACACUUUACCAAACAAAUGCUUCGAAGCAUGACUGAAAAUCGAGACCAACAAUUAUGAAUCGAAAUACGCAUGAGUUACCUAUUAAGAAGCGAUGCAGAUUUAGCCCAGAAGAAGAGUAUUACAACGAGAAGCAAGAUGACAUUGGAAAUGAAGGUUAAAAGAUUAUAACCCGCCCGUUCGAAAAGGAACCAAAGAGUGGUUGAACCCACAAGCACGGCAACACUUGUACCCCAUCUUCUCCACAACAACACAUCAGCAACUGUACCCACAAUAGCAGAAACCAAAGGCCAAAAAAGAAAACAAUCAAAAUAUAUUGAAACCAACUCCAAACAACUACACAGCCUAUACGAAACUAAUAGCAAAUGAAAAAAGCAAAACAAACAUUUCACCAUUUAAAAAAUACUCAACCAAACAGCAAAAAUUUCACCAUCUAAGUCAAUGAAAAUGAGAAUCAAUUAGAAACUGGCACAGCCGAUUAAAAAAAAAAAGAUUUUAAAAAAAGUCAGCAUACUACGCAGUAAAAACAAGUCUUCCCCACCAAUACAUAUAUUCCAAUCUGAACACCAUUUAACCAAAUGAAUCGCACCGGAUUCCUAUAGUCUUGAUAAAUAUGAAUAACAUAGCGUACGGGAAAAUUGCAUUGGUGCAUGUUUAUAUGAAUAACAGGAAAGAAAGAGAGGAAGGAAAUGUAUAGUACCAGAACCACCGCCGAGAGCUUGAUGGACUGAAGAAGAAUGCCGAUGAGAGUCUCCCAUGGCGGGCCGGUUUAGGGUUUUCCGAUGAUUAAUUUUUGGAAAAAUUAUUAUUUGGAUUGGGAGGAUGAAUUUUUGAAGGUGGGGUCGGAAUUGGGCGAAGGGGUAGUAAUUCUGCACAAUUGGUGGAGGCUGGUGAGCUGUAACUUUGUACCUACCAUGCAAUGCCACUUUUUAACCUUUUUUUGCUUUGUUUAUAACUACUUUUCCAAUUGAUUGGAUUAAUUAAGUACAAAUUUUUCUUUAAUCUAUAUAUAUAUAUAUAUAUAUAUAUAUAUAUAUAUAUAUGCAUUGAGGAUUUAUUAUACAUAUUCAACUUUCAAUAUAUUUUCCUAACUGAAUGUUGGAAUGAUUAACGAGUAAUGAAAUUAUGGUUCUCUGCAAGCAAAAAAAAAAAAAAAAAUGCAUUACUCAAAAGAAUUAUAUAUUUCCACUUCGAUUAUAUAUAUAUUUUUUCACUUAAGAGUAUCCCAACCUUUAUUUGACCAGACUAAUUCCUUAAGACUAACAAAGCCCCGUCCAAGGAUGUCAACGAGUUACCUCACGAGAGUCGAAUCUGAAACCUUGCAGUAAAAACUAACAAGGAUGCCAGCGAGUUACCUCACCUUGCAGUAAAAGCUAGCGACUAGUUCCGACUGAUACUCCCAUUAUAUACUUUUCUUAGUUUCUGAUGUAAUAUACUAAUAAUCAUCAAAUUGUGAUAUAAUUCAGCUACGUUGUUUUAUUUUCUUUAUACAUGAAGUAAAUUUUAAAAGCAAAUAUGUAGUGAUGCACAUAAUUAAAAGAUGGACCCAAAAAACAAAUAUCAUAAUGUAAUUCGAUUUUGGACAACAUAGUAGUAACGGCUUAAUUUGAGAGCUACACUUGAACGCAAAUCUUUAGCCUUAUGGUUAUGGCUGCUUGGUUCUCUUGGAACAAGAAAAUCACAGAUGGAAAGAGUACAAAGCAUGAAAUCGUUCUCAACAAGAAAAAAUGAUGAGUGGAACCCUUCUCUUUUACGUUAAGUGGACUGUAGACCAAGGGGACUUUUUGCCAAAAAGUUCAGCAGUAUCAUUUUGGCUUUCAGGCAAUGAGCAGCUGUGAAUAGGCUCCUUAAAGAAUACUACUACUUGCCAAACCAGCACUACCACUAGCAUACAGGUUUCUUCAAAAAACCAGUGAAAGAACCAGACAAUUGGAAUGCAUGGCAAGAGGUACCAAAAACUUGGGAUGAAAAAAAAAACAAAAUUAAAAGGCAAGUCAAGAUCUCAGCCGUAGCACACAAAUUAAUUUGGUUAUGCACAGGAUGUAAGUCAUAUUUUCAAGAUACACUUCGCUACAACGCAGUUCACUCCUGGUUUCUUUCAUUCCGCAGAACUUCACCUGGUGACAGAAGUUUCUACUGUAGUUAGAAAUUCUCUGUGGACAGUGCUCUUUCUCAAGGGUUAGUUCACAAAAUUUUUCUAGCAUCACACAUGUCAUAACCCCCAAUAAUGAAGCGUCCCUUGCUUUCUCCAGGCUAAAGAGCUCAUUUUUCACCCAUGCCUCCGCAGGCCCAAACAACACCCCCCCGCCCCCAAAAAAUAUGGAAGCACCGCUGUGAAUCAAAUGUUAAUUACAUGUCAACUUCAUCGUUUGAAUCUGCAUCAUCAUCUGAGGAUUCGUCCUUCUUAUGUUCUUCUCCCCCAUCACUUACUUUGGUCUUCUUCUCUUUCUUUCUCAGUUUUUUCUUCUGGCGUUUCAUUCGCUUCUUUGCUGUGCGCUCCUCCGCAGCUUUUAAUCUUUCUUCCCUCCUCAUAUUAAAUUCUGCUAUUUCUUUUCUUUUUUGGUAGUCCACAUCCAUCCUCGCAAGUCGAUCUUGCUCUUUGCGUCUCAUUUGCCGAUACUGUCUCCCAGAAAAUGCAUGGAAGAGUUAAGAUCUUCAUCACAAUUAACAGAUGGUAAUUGAGUUAAACAAAUACCAUACCAUCAAAUGUUAGGCAACUUUCUGGACUAGACAGAUAAACAUUGAAAAGACAAAACACACGCAACACUACUGCCCAUGAAAAGGGAAAAGACUCGCAAGUGCCCAUCUUACCCAAAAAAUAAAUCUGGUAAAAUACAGUAACUACCUAUGGCCACCUUAUGCCUUCAGUAGGUGCUUAUGUCAAGCAAAGUUCCCCUUCACCCACAAAGGAGGCUAAACACAGGUCUCUUGUUAUCAAGUUCGGUUGGUCCAACUAACUGCUUGUUCCCCAGAUAAAAAUCGCAAAACCCAGCACCCAGCUCCAGCCCAAGCCACCCGUUGCCCCAAAGCGAUAAAAUGAUGAUCAGUUCUUGAACUGGAACACACUAGAAGUUCACUAGUUUAACAAUUACUGAAACCAAUAAAAGAUAAGGAUUCAGAUCAUAGAAAAAUGAACUAAACUAAUGCCAUUUGUUUCUCACUUGUCAGUACUUUAUACUCGAACCGAAAAAGUCAAUAGUUUUCCGGUCACUAAUAGCUCUGGCUUCUCAAUAGUCUUCCUUGAAUUCCUCAAAAUCUUGAAAUGGGUAAUUCCAUGCAUUCAGGUUUUCUGGUAGACGCUCAACAGGGCUCGGAUUGUUUAGAUUGAGAGGUGCUUGGAAUUGAGGUUCAGUAGAGUUUAAAACUUGGUGAAUAUACAAAGAGAAAAGGCUAAUAUUCCAUAUUUUAGAUGUCAACAUGUACAUCGGGUGCACCAACAGCCUAUGUAGUCUCUUUUUCUUUUUUUUUUUUAAUUUUUGUCUCAUUCUUGUGCCCAGCAGCUGGAAACCAAAUCACCAGUACUGAAGCUAUAGAUUCUCAACGUCUGAAGGCUUUCAUUGCAGUGGCAAAAGAAAUUCCUUUACUUACAGGUGAUUAAGCCAAUCAAACAAUUUCUUCACUACGCCACUAUAUUGAGUACUGACCCAGUAAACACAAUUAGCACAACAAUAAUCAGUAAAUGUAAUACCCACUGUAAAUAUUCAUUCAAACAAGGGACUCCAGCAUCAGUUCAGUGAAAAGGCACCAUAGAGGAAAUCAUAAUCUGUUAGCAUCGACUCAGCUGUUCUCAAUCAUGUAAUAAAAGCUGUUGUCAGCCAUUAAGACACAGUUAGUUUGUCAGCUGAUGUGAGCUAAUCAUGAAAUAAUUUGCUGGAUUCUACGAAAUUUAGGACUUCUGUCGAAGUGCCCCUCAAAAUCUUCUGAUAUCUUCUCAAUUCACAGAUUAUUAAAAGCUACAUUUUUUCGAAAACAUAUCAUCGUCAAUUUUACAUCAGCAUUGCGGAACCAUUCUUAGUUACUAUACUUUGGCUGGACUUAGUACAAUCUGCAAACAUCUAAUUACACAGCCGAGCCAAACUCCAAUGACAAAGAACCUAAGUUGGAUUAGUGAUAGGGUCAGGUUAGGACUGUAUAACGGAAAAUUGAUAGAAUCUAGGGUUUAGGACUUCAGGCAGAAGAAAGAACUAAUAAUUACCUGGUGGAAGUCACCGGAGCCAGAACCGGCAGAGCUACCGGAGGUGUUACUAACACGAACGGGGACGCAGUCGAUGAUACGGCGGAGCUUGACCUCGAGAUCCUCCUCCUCGGGGUUAGGAGCUGGCGGAGUGUACUCUACCAGUGCAUUGGAUGACGAAGAAAGUGACGACGAAGAAAGUGACGACGAAGACGGAGGACGAGGCGGCUUCUCGGACGUCGCUACCACUUGCAAGUCGCCAGCGGCAACUGGCACCAUCGCCCUACUUCCUCUUCCUCCUCCUGACGACAUUACGUCUCCAAUCUCUUGUUCUCUGCAAAAGCUCAAAGCCCAGCAAAAUUGGGGGGUUUCCGGUUCGGUCUGAUUUCGAUUGAUCAAUCUAUUCCUCGGCCCACGCUUCCGGUUUCUUAAAUUUUGGAACCGGAACCGGUCGAACCCUUAAAAAGUAUAGUUUUAAUUAGAGGUACAAACGAAUCGAAUCGAAUCGAAUCUCAAUUUAUAUAGUUUUAUAAAACUCGAAUUCAAACUUGAUCUCGACGAGUUCAAAAUGUAAAGAUCAAGCUUGACUUUAAAAACAUAAAAAAAAAAUUAUUUAUUUUUUAAAAAUAAAUAUAAUAAUAAUUGUUUAACAAAUAAUAAAAUGUUAAGGAUAUAUAUAUAUAUAUAAACAAGCGACUCGCGAGCUAAUAAGUUGAGUAUCUUUGAAUUCAAAUUCGAAUUCGAUUUGAUCUGCUCAAAUUCGACUCGAGUUCGAUGUUGAUCAUUCCUGAUUGAUUGAAAAAGUAAAUUAAGGGGGUCAGUCUCUAAAUUUUGAUAUUUAUCUAUUUUUUGUUUUAAUCAAAUUUUUUCUGAGGAUUUCUUGUAUUUUGAUCUGCCUCUAUUCAUUUCAUUUUUAUGUUUUUGUUUUGAAUGCAUUAGAAAAUUUUUUGAAUGUAUUUUCUACUUUUUGAUUUUCUUUUUAUAUUAGACUAAAUAAUAUAGAUUUCUAUAACUAUAUUUAUUUAUAUAUAUAGAGUGGAGAAUGGCGAUUAAAAUGAACUAUUCAUGAAUGACAAAUCGCAAAAUUCUCUACACCUAAAAAAAGCAGAAAGAUCCAAUGAAAUCAUUACAUUAUAUUGACAAUUUCAAAAAACUGUUCAUUCUAUGAUCAUAGUAUGAUGGCGGUUGGAUAAGUAGACCCCCAUCAUCUAGUGGUUCAGGACAUCUCUCUUUCAAUGAGGCAGCGGGGAUUCGACUUCCCCUGAAGGUAGAGUACUGAAAGAAAUUUAAUUAUGGAUUAUCAAUAAAUCUAAAAGUGAUUCUUCAUAGGUCGAUGCUCGAGCGGUUAAUGCGGACAGACUGUAAAUUCGUUGGCAAUAUGUCUACGCUGAUUCAAAUCCAUCUCGACCCAAUAAUUCGCCCAAUUCACCAAUUCAAUUUAUCACGAGAGGGUAUAACCCCCUAUCUUUCAUAAAGAUUCGAUGUGGAGAUAAAAAGAAUAAAAAUCUCUGCAAGAUCCCUUUCACUGGCAUUGUAAUUCAAUUGGUUAGAGCACCGCCCUGUCAAGACGGAAGCUACAAGUUCGAGCCCGGCCAGUCCCGACGGAUCCAAUAAAUACAGCAAUAAAUCCAUCUCCUCCUUUCUAUAAACUAUGAAAGGGGGCGAGGCAUUAGUUCAUUCCCAAAUCAAAAGGGGGUUAAGUUCUAUUUCUUUACUUUUGGUAGGAUAAAAACAUAUGUGGGUGGAUUAUUACAAUUAGUAGUAACAUUACAAUAAGUAUUCCAAGAAAUACUGAGUCUGCUUUUUUUAUUAUUCCCGAUCCGUGGAUAGAAUACUAUAUUUUUUUUGGGGGGAAGGCACGCAUACACAAAAUGAAAUUCACAAUCAAAAAUGAAUUUAACUUCAACAAAAUUCUUCUGAUAGGAUACUCUUCUAAAUUAAAUAAUUUAAUUACUCUUUCUGAGCUCGAACUCGAGCUGCUUACAAGCAACUCAAUUCGUUUGCAAUCCUACUUUUAACAUAUUAUUAGCCGUGCUUCUAAUCUAAAUUCCUUGCCUCUAUUUUCCCUAGUUCUAAAUUUUUUUCUUAUUUUUAUAAAUUGAUUUUAGAGCAGCAAUUGUAUCCUUGCCUCAAUUAUGUUUCUUUACUUUUAGUCGGAUAAAAGCGUAUGUGAAUGGAUUAUUACAAUUAGUAGUAACACUAUAAUAAGUAUUCCAAGAAAUACUGAGUCUACUUUUUUCAUUGCUCCCGAUCCGUGGAUAGAGUAUUUUUUUUUUUUGGGAGAGGGCACGCAUACACAAAAUGAAAUUCACAAUCAAAAAUGAAUUUAACUUUAACAAAAUUCUUCUAAUAGAAUACUCUUCUAGAUUAAAUAAUUCAAUUUCUCUUUUUGAGCUCGAACUCGAGCUGCUUGCGAGCGAGUCAAUUCAUUUGCAACCCUAAUUUUAACAUAUUAUCAGCCGUGCUUCUAAUCUAAAUUCCUUGCCUUUAUUUUUUUCUGGUUCUAAAUUUACUUUCUUAUUUUUAUAAAUUGAUUUUAGAACAGCAAUUAUAUCCAAAACCAACCUUUUUUUGCGACAUAAUCGGAUGAAAUCUUAAUCAAAACCUAAGAUUUGAGAAAGUUAUGUUUUAAAAUUCAAAUCGAGGAAUGAUUCGAUAAAACUCAAAAGUCAAAGGCCAAUGAGUUCAACUGGAUUGGAUCCAUGUUAAAAAUCAGGUGACAUCAUAAAUAUAUAUAUUAAUUUUUUAUAUAGAAAAAUGACCAUAAAUGUACUAGUUAUUUCACUUUGCCCAACAAAUUAAGAAAAGAUAACCAAAUUCCAAAGUUAACAAAUGACAAAUCAUUGUUAAAUACUUAAAAAAGAAUCUCAUGUAAAACACAAAAAUUAACUAAAUUCCAAAGUUAACAAAUGACAAAUCAUGGUUAAAUACUUAAAAAAGAAUCUCAUGUAAAACACAAAAAUUAAUCCUCAAAUUAAUUGUUAAUUUUUCUAAAGUUCGAAAUGACCUUUAUAAGUCUAAAUCUUUUUUAGAGGAUAAGUCUUGAACAAAAUUAAGUCUAAUAUUUAUAAGUUUGCGUUUUACAAUUAAACUGAAAAUGAAAUAUAAUUUCCAUUUUUUUUAAAAAAAAACCCAGAAAACCCAAAAAAAAAAGAAAAGCAUAUUGGUAGUUGAUUCAGAAGCCACCCUAGGUACUCCAUAGAGUUUGUUUCCCUGCAUAUUAAAAACUUCAUAUCCAAUAUGACAGUCGACACAAUUCGUGCAAUAGUUCUCUUAUUCAGGAUAACUUUGAUGCAACUGAGUAAACUCUCCUAUAUCAGACUCAUUUGGCAUGGUGACAAUUUGCUGCAUUUUGAACCACAGAAUAAUUACUACAUUUCUCAUAGUAUAGCUCGUGUUGCUACUAUUCUGAGGAA
This 44049-nucleotide long non-coding RNA is filed under the name Coffea arabica (coffee). Its description in RNAcentral is "long non-coding RNA (CARA_LNC002373)". The stretch from base 41831 to 41903 matches the Rfam family "tRNA". Lineage: Eukaryota; Viridiplantae; Streptophyta; Magnoliopsida; Gentianales; Rubiaceae. The record is from RNAcentral.